GACGAACGCUGGCGGCGUGCUUAACACAUGCAAGUCGAACGGAAAGGCCCUGCUCUUGUGGGUUGCUCGAGUGCCGAACGGGUGUGUAACACGUGAGUAUCCUGCCCUUGACUUUGUGAUAACUUCACGAAACUGCGGCUAUUACCGGAUAGGAUCUCCUGCUGCAUGUUGUGCGUUGGAAAGUUUCGGCGGUUGUGGAUGGACUCGCUGCUUAUCAGCUUGUUUGUGUGGUAGUGGCUGACCAAGGCUUAGACGGGUAGCCUGCCUGAGAGGGUUGCCGGCGACAAUGGGACUGAGAGACGGACCAGAAUGCAACGGGAGGCAGCAGUGGAGAAUAUUGCGCAGUGAGCGGAAGCCAGAUACAGAAACGCCGGGUGCGGGAUGACGGGCUUCGGGUUGUAAACAGCUUUCGAAUGUGACGAAGAGGGAGUGACGGUAAUGGGUAAAGAAGCAACGGCUAACUACGUG
RNAcentral lists this ribosomal RNA (468 nucleotides) under uncultured bacterium. RNAcentral's name for it is "partial 16S ribosomal RNA". It matches the Rfam family "Bacterial small subunit ribosomal RNA", at positions 28 to 507 of the family's 1533-position model. The record is from RNAcentral.